RNAcentral lists this ribosomal RNA (160 nucleotides) under uncultured bacterium. RNAcentral's name for it is "partial 16S ribosomal RNA". It matches the Rfam family "Bacterial small subunit ribosomal RNA", at positions 338 to 514 of the family's 1533-position model. The record is from RNAcentral.
CCUACGGGAGGCAGCAGUGGGGAAUAUUGCACAAUGGGCGCAAGCCUGAUGCAGCAACGCCGCGUGAAGGAAGACGGUUUUCGGAUUGUAAACUUCUGUUCUUAGUGAAGAAUAAUGACGGUAGCUAAGGAGCAAGCCACGGCUAACUACGUGCCAGCAG